AGGGGUCACUCGUGGCUAAGUAAUAUUGUAACUAUAGACUAUCUGUUAGGACUGUUAUGGUUGGUACGACCAUGGUCAUAGAUCUUACAUGGUUUGGCUAGCCGGAAGUGGGCAUGAGCAAAUUACCGUAUCUAUAUCUGAUAUGGUCAUUCCACUAAGGCAGUUGGAAAUCUGUAUCUGUAUUUGCCCUCAGAGAUGAAAGUUUGUAACCACUUCGGGAAGCAUGACACAAAAAUCUGUGCAUUUUAUGAUUUAUUUGAUUUUUUCUGUUAUUUAGCAUGAUAUAUGUAUAAUUGAUUUUCUGUGCUAACGUACUAUUUUGAUAUUCAAAU
This 332-nucleotide long non-coding RNA is filed under the name Carica papaya (papaya). RNAcentral's name for it is "long non-coding RNA (CPAP_LNC007902)". The record is from RNAcentral. Lineage: Eukaryota; Viridiplantae; Streptophyta; Magnoliopsida; Brassicales; Caricaceae.